CAAUAGCGCAUAUUAAAGUUGUUGCAGUUAAAAAGCUCGUAGUUGAAUUUUUGCUUGCCGCCGAUGUCGGAACUUCCGUACGUUCGGCGGCGUGCAUCCUUGGGUGGAACCUGUGUGGCAUUAGGUUGUCGUGCAGGGGAUGCUCAUCGUUUACUGUGAAAAAAUUAGAGUGUUCAAAGCAGGCUUACGCCGUUGAAUAUAUUAGCAUGGAAUAAUAAGAUAGGACCUUGGUACUAUUUUGUUGGUUUGCGCACCGAGGUAAUGAUUAACAGGGACAGUUGGGGGUAUUCGUAUUCCAUUGUCAGAGGUGAAAUUCUUGGAUUUCUGGAAGACGAACUACUGCGAAAGCAUUUACCAAGGAUGUUUUCAUUAA
Molecule: ribosomal RNA, 373 nt
Filed under: uncultured eukaryote
Lineage: Eukaryota
Description: partial 18S ribosomal RNA
Rfam family: Eukaryotic small subunit ribosomal RNA
Source: RNAcentral